CUUCCAGCUGGACAGUCUCUUGUGCCGGCUCUAGGGAGCCCUACCGAAGCCCUCCAGCAGGAGAAUAACACUCUGUCUUGGGGAUAUUCCCAGGAAGUGCACCCAGCCGUAUGCUCCUGGCAGUAGCUGACUGUGCUCUGCCACUGAAACUUGAAGAAGAGCAGUGUGUACUCAGGACUCCAGGGCUGACCCCCUCCGGAGCAAAGCAGGCUCAGAUUUUCAUAGGCUAAACAAGUUCUGAUUUCUCCCUGGGUCAGAGCUAAAACUCAGAACUGCUUGACUUCAUUAGAAGCAAGAGCAUUCAGUCAAUUUCUCAUCCUCUGCCUGGAAAAGCAAGAAGGACCCCAAACAACAUAAACAGCAAAGAGAAAAUCAGCAGCAAGUUCACUUCGUAGAAUACAGGUCUGUUGCAAUAAUGUGUUUCACUCACUGAUUAUAAGAAACAUUAAUAACCUGAAGUCUUACUUGUUACAAAGACAUUAAAUCUAAAAGUAUAUGACCUAAGAAAAAUGUUUUGCUUAAAAUAGAUUUCUUAUCCUUUA
Molecule: long non-coding RNA, 542 nt
Organism: Vidua chalybeata
Lineage: Eukaryota; Metazoa; Chordata; Aves; Passeriformes; Viduidae
Exons: 3
Source: RefSeq, a predicted model, not a curated record